UGGGGAAUAUUGGACAAUGGGCGAAAGCCUGAUCCAGCCAUGCCGCGUGUGUGAAGAAGGCCUUUUGUUUGUAAAGCACUUUAAGCGAGGAGGAGGCUACUAGUACUAAUACUACUGGAUAGUGGACGUUACUCGCAGAAUAAGCACCGGCUAACUCUGUGCCAGCAGCCGCGGUAAUACAGAGGGUGCGAGCGUUAAUCGGAUUUACUGGGCGUAAAGCGUGCGUAGGCGGCUGAUUAAGUCGGAUGUGAAAUCCCUGAGCUUAACUUAGGAAUUGCAUUCGAUACUGGUCAGCUAGAGUAUGGGAGAGGAUGGUAGAAUUCCAGGUGUAGCGGUGAAAUGCGUAGAGAUCUGGAGGAAUACCGAUGGCGAAGGCAGCCAUCUGGCCUAAUACUGACGCUGAGGUACGAAAGCAUGGGGAGCAAACAGG
This 430-nucleotide ribosomal RNA is filed under the name Pseudomonadota bacterium. RNAcentral's name for it is "Proteobacteria bacterium partial 16S ribosomal RNA". It matches the Rfam family "Bacterial small subunit ribosomal RNA", at positions 355 to 776 of the family's 1533-position model. The record is from RNAcentral. Lineage: Bacteria; Pseudomonadati; Pseudomonadota.